RNAcentral lists this long non-coding RNA (9647 nucleotides) under Homo sapiens (human). RNAcentral's name for it is "HSALNT0248511". Lineage: Eukaryota; Metazoa; Chordata; Mammalia; Primates; Hominidae. The record is from RNAcentral.
GAAUUUUAAAAAUCCAUACAUCAACUCAUAUUUCUCUAAAAAUUAAUUAUUAAUCAGCCAUUAUAAGAAAAAAAAGAAAGAGAAAGCAAGCAAGCAAGGAAGAAAGAAAGAAAGGAAGGAAGGAAGGAAGGAAGGAAGGAAGGAAAGAAUAAAUAAAUAAAGGAAAGAAAGAAAGAAAGAGAAGAAAAAGGAAAAGAAAGAAAGACAGAGAGAAAGAAAGGAAGGAAGGGGGAGGGUCAGAGGGAAGGAAAGAAGAAAGAGUGAGUCAGACAAGGAGAUGUGAGUUAGCUUUGUAAAUAUCCAUAAUCCAUUUUUAACUAUAACUAAGAAAUCACGUUGUCCAAGGCCUUGGGAGUCCACUCCUUGUACCAGUAUGCCUUGGAUGUUGGACACGAAAUCAAAAGAGAUUAUUUUGGAGCUUUAAGUUUUAAUGACUGCCUUGCUGGGAUUCAAACUUGCUUGGGGCCUGUAUCUUCUUUCUUUUGGUCAAUUUCUCCCUUUUUGAACAGGAAUGCUUACCCAAUUCCUAUACCUCCAUUGUAUCUUGGAAGUAAAUAACCUGAUUUUUAUUUUACAGGAUCAUAGAUGGAAGGGACUUGCCUUGUCUCAGACAGGACUUGGGACUUUUGAGUCAAUGCUGGAAUCAGUUAAGAAUUUAGGGGACUGUUGGGAAGGCAUGAUACCAUUUUGAAAUGUCAAAAGGGCAUGAGAUUUUCAAAGGGCCAGAGCAGAAUGAUAUACUUUUCAGAAUGAUAUCCCCCAAAUAUCAUGUUGAAUUGUAAUCCCCAAUGCUGGGGUGAGGUCUUGUGGGAGGUGUUUGGAUCAUGGAGGCAGAUCUCUCAUGACUUGGUACUUACUUCAUGAUAGUGAGUUCUCAUGGGAUCUAGUCCUUUAAAAGUGUGUGGCACCUCCUCUGCUCACUCUCUUUCUUGCUCCUGCUUUUACCAUGUGACGUGCCAGCUCUCCCUUUACCUUCUGCCAUGUUUGGGAGCUUCCUGAGGCCUUCCCAGAAGCAGAUGCCAGUAUGCUGCCUGUACAACCUGCAGAACUCUGGAGCCAUCGCAUGAAUAUGUACACUUUAAAAUUCACAAAAGGACAUUCUCACAGGUUCACUGGAGCUUAAUGAGUAGUUAAUAUAUCUGCACCGAAGUGACAGUUCACAGGUUCCAGGAUAACCAGAUGACUGAGGAAUGUUGAAGAUUGCAGUGAUGGAAGUGCCUCAGUCAGCCUGGAAGACUGUAUGGAUGGAGGUUGCCUGGCCACACUGUCAUGUCCCUCUCUCCCUGAAAAAGAGACACAUUUGCCUUUGGGCAAGGCAAUACAUACAUUUGGUCUAUGUAUACACUUUGGUCUAUGCAUUCUGUUAUUUAACAUUCUAAUAAUGUUGAUGACCUUAAAAUAUGCUUGACAAUGAUCCGUGUAAAUCAUUAUUAUUCUGCCUUCUGCAAGAUAAGAAUUAUGGGCCAGGUAUGGCACUUAACGCCUAUAAUACAAACAUUUUGGAAGGCCAAGGCAGGAGGAUUGCUUGAGCUCAGGAGUUAGAGACCAGCUUGGGCAACAUAGUGAGACCUCAUCUCUACUAAAAAUAAAACAAAAAAAGUUAUGAGAGUGACACUGCACUCCAGCUUGGGUGACAGAGCGAGAUCCUGUAUCCAAAUAAAUAAAUAUCUAAUAUAGGAAUUAUCAAAUUCAACACAUAUUAAUUAUUUUCAUAUCCAUUUAUGGAAAAUAAUAAUGUGGGGAUGAUUCUUAAAAGGGAUUCUGGAAGUGGUUUCUUCAAUUAAAUAUAUUCAAAACUCAUUCCCGCUUACUACACAAAUCAAAGAGGAAUUGAAAAUGUGUGUGAUUCCCACUAAAUUAUUUUCCUUUCAUAUGGCUUGAUGUUACUGUCUUUGUGGAGUGGCUGAGAAAUGUCUCCUUCUUGCCUUUAUCUUCAAAGGCUCUGCCAAUGUGAAGUACAGGAGAGAGAGGCAAGAGCAGGGCCCACUAGUGGAAUCAUCUCAGCCUUAUUCCCCAGGGGAAAACACAUUCUUUUUCACUUUCCUGAGCUGCCUUAUCUGAUAAAAAUGAUUCUUACAUCUCCCAGCAAUGCCUUCUGAUUGUAAUGUAGUUUAUGCCACUGGUUUGCCUAUUUCUCAAAUAUAAACCUACACGCAUGUACACACAUUUGGCCUUAGCCUUUCUAAUUCCACUCUCAUCAGGACAGAUUGCACACCUGUAAACAUUCUUAGAUCAACUCCAGUAAUCAAUCCACAUUCAUGUAACCCCUGCAGAAUAAAGAUCAUUGGAGACCUUCAAGAUUGACUUCCCAUUUAAACCGUAAGAAAACAAGACCCCAAUGUGUCAGCUGCAGAACCACAAUAAGGACCUAAGUCCCAUGUCUUAUUGUUCAGUGGUUUUUCUAAGUCACUGUAAAAUUUUUCUACAUUCCUGGCCUGAGAACAGAAGUACCUUUUGCUUAUCUAUUCAAUUAAAUUCAGUAGUUGGUAAAUGUGAAUAAAGGAAAUCAAAACACUAUUGAAGAUUAUUUAGAUAUGGCUGAGAAGUGGGGUGAACAAACCUGACCCACUUUAACUUAGAGAUUCAAAAUAUAAACUUAACUCAGUUGCAGUCAACAACCUGACAUUAAAUGCAAACAUACAAGUAAAGAACCCAAGUAAACAGAAAAAACUAACCUGCUACCUACCUUUAAACACUAAAUAUAGAGCUCCUGUCGUCCUGUUUCUUACUGAUUUAUAACUUCAAAUAAUGGGUCAAGAAAAAAGCUACAUAUAUGAAAAGAUGAGAUCUGCGUUUCAAUCCAAAUCUUUCUUUCAAUAACCCUACUACUUGAAACCAUAGAAGGAGACAGGAACUUCCUCCCUUGUUUCUUUUUUCUUUUUCAAAACUACCCACUAAUCUUUUAAUUAAAAGUGAAUGAUGGAGAGAUGGCAAGUGAGCAGGAGAAGCUGAGGAACACAGCUCCCUUAUGUAUUUGCACAACGCUAAUCACUCUUCACAUCUUACAGAGAGAUCUGUACUAGUUACAUGGAAUCUAAUCUGUUCUACUAAAGCUGAUGCUGUCAGCUGCCAUGCUUAGCUCUCAUUCAUUAUGCUUGUAGACACAUUUUGAGAAAAUACAUUAUCUAGAAGAGAAACUUCUAAGAAGGUUUUAUAUACUAUAUGAUGCUAAUAUUUUAGAUAAUGUUUUAUGCUAGUUUAAUCUUUGUGUAUUGAAAGAACUCUGAUUUUCCUGGAAGUCCCUAGACAGUACAUUUAAUUAAUCUUACCUCUCAGUUCAACAAGUUGCCUUUUACUUUAGUCAUAUAAUCAAUCUCUUGGUAAUAAUAUAUAGUGAUAUCCAGGCAUGUAUGAUGCAAGCAAGUUUUUAGUUUAAAGCUAAGGAAUUAAAAUGAAAACAAUACAUAGUGCUCUCUGUACAACAAUGACUGAGAAUAGGUAGUCGUGCUCUUUAUAUACAAGGCACUGUGCUGAGCAUAUUUUGUAAGUUAUUGCCAUGAUUCCAUGUAAUUAUGUAUUAUAAUUUUACCUUUGAAGAAGAUAAGCCUCAAAAAUGGCAAGCAGUUCACCCACCCACAUUUAAAUGUCUGUUACACCUCUGAGAUAUACAACCCAUGAAUUCUACCAUUAUUCACUCUGUCUGUCAACUCCAUUCUGUCUUCAUGUACCUCCCAGCCCAAUUGAUGUGUCAAGGCAUUGGAUUUAAUUCAUUCACUCCAGAAAUAUUUAUCACAUGCUUAUAGGUGCUUGGCUCUCUUCUAGGUGCCCAAGUCACAUCAGUGAAAAAAAAAAAUAAACAAGAUCCUCAUCCUCAUCAAGCUUAUAUUUAUUUCCCAACAUCUGAUUUCAAUUUCCUUGCCAUGCACUCCUUUCAUCAUAGAAGCCUUACAAAAUCCCCAAUCCAAUUGAAUCUAAUUCUGUGCUUCAUGUUUCUCACCCUCGCUUGGUAAAACCCACAACUGUGCUUGCCGGAUUUUACCAUAAAUUACUAACCAUGAACUUCAAGUGGUCUAUUAGUGAUCAGUACCAACGCUUUAAUAGUUGUCUGCUCCUUUGACUCUUUCACAUUCCUAAAAGAUUUUCCAUUUUUCUCUGUCUCCUUCCAGCAACUCCUGGCCAAUUCUUAUCUCACCUAAUGACUUUGAUUCUUAUUAUACAAAGACAAUAGUAAAAAUCAGAAGAGUACUUAUACAAACUACCACCAUGAAAAUCAUCACUCUACCUGUAUCUCUCCCGACUCUUGAUCAUCCUUCCUACCACUGUGGAGAAAUUUUUCUGUGCAUUUUUGUUCUCAGUACUGCUGAAGAUUUUUUCCAUGCUUCUGUCCAAGGAGGGCAUCUCUUCACUAGAUCCCAGUUGUAUCAUUCUAGCAUUGGCGCUUAUUUUCUCGCAUAUCACUGGCUUUCCAAUUUUUCCCUUUUAAAAGGAUAAUUCUUAUAAAUUUACAGCUAUAAUAGAUAACAGAAAAAAGCCUCUCUUGAUCCAAGGUCUCCUUCCGUUUCCCACCCCAUUUAUCUCUUUUUCUUUACAUUAAAGUUUUUCCAACUGUUUCCAGUUUCUCCCACAGAAUUCUCUCCUUAAUCUAGCCCUGGAAGACUCUCAGGCCUAUGACUUCAAAAUGAGAUCCUCCACCCAGACCAUUAUUGAUCUCAAAGUUGCUAAGUUCAGGUAAAUUCCUGGUACUUGUCUUACUUGACCUCUGUGGUGCUUAAAUUAGCUGAUCCCUUUCCUUCUUGAAACACAUUGUCCAGUUUAUUUCCAGGAUGCCAUUUUCUUGAUUCUUCUCAUGAGAUUCUGCUCAGAUUUCUUUGUUUGAUCUUUCUCAACUCUCCAGCCUUUGAAAUUUGGGAUGCACUAAAACUCAGUCCAUUGAUAUUUCCUUUUAAAAAUGCCCAUUGCCCUACUGAACACAUCUAGUCUCGUAUCAUCUACACAUGGAUGAUUUCCCAAUUUAUAUUUCCACAUUUAAAUGCCUACUCUAAAUAUUUGCAUGGCUAUCUAAAAAGCAUCUCAAAUGUAACAUGCCCAUAUUUGAUCUCCCUCAUACUUCCCUCUUCCAAUAAAAUUUUCAAGUCUUCUUCUCAGUAAUGGUAAAUACUCUCUACGGCCAUAUCAUCCUGAACAUGCACAAUCUCAUUAACAAUGGCAAAUACUUUCUUCCAGAUGCUGAUGUGGAAAACCUAAUGUUCAUCCUUGAUUAAUAUUUUUCUCUUACAUCACAUAUCUCACCCACCCCUGUACCACCUGUUUCAAGCCAUCAUCACUUUACACCUGCAUUAUUGCAAUAUCCUCCUAAGAAGCUGCUCUUUUUUUUCACCACCUCCAACAUCAGCUCGUAACACAGCAGCCAAAAUGACCAUUUUAAAAUAAAAGUUAGAUCCUCUCUCUCUCUCAGUAUAAACGCUCUUUCUCAGAGUAAAAGCCAGGUCUAACAAUGGCACCUCAUAAUUGUCCAUCUUAUCUCCUGACCUCAUUUCUUACCUCUCUCCUUCUCUAGCUCUUUUCCUUAUACCCUGGAAUCCUUGAACUUGAUCCAGACUCAGGACCUCUUCCUGGAACAUUCUACUCUCUGAUAGCUCUAGAACUAGAAUAUAAGGUAAAUAACACUUGCUGAUUUGAAAAAUAUACUACAAACCUAAGUGGUUUAAUACAAUAUCUUUUUUUUUUUUUUUUUGGCUAAUAUUACAGUCCAGUGAGAAUAUGACAGCACCUCUGGUUAGCUCUCUUCUAAGCAGAGAUUAAGUCCUUGAUUUUGGUCCUAAAGAGAGAAAGAAAAAGCAAGGAGAAGAGUACAGUGAGUUUUAAGAGUCUGACCUGUAAAUGGCCUACAUUUUUCCUUCCCACAUUUCAACAACUACUGCUCAGUCUCAUGACUAAUCUAUCUGCAAAGAGAUAAAUUCAGAAGCACAAAGCUAGCCUAAAUAUUAGAAUGCCCCCCCCCCCCAGAUCUCUGCCACAUUAGUCCCCUGCUUUCCUCAGGAAGACAAGGGAAACUUUUUCUGGCUACCCUGCUUACAAGAGCAACACUUCCUAAAUUAAAUGUUGCUCAGUGAUCUCCAAUCCUGCUUGUUUGUUUGCUGGUUUGAGACAGAGUCAUGCUCUGUCACCCAGGCUGGAGUGCAGUGGUGUGAUCUUGGCUCACUCUAAGCUCCACCUCAUGGGUUCAAGUGAUUAUCCUGCCUCAGCCUCCCAAGUAGCUGGGAUUACAGGUGCCCAGCACUACGCCUGGCUAAUUUUUGUAUUUUUAGUUGAGACGGGGUUUCACCAUGUUGGCCAGGCUAGUCUCAAACUCCUGACCUCAAGUGAUCCAUCUGCCUCGGCCUCCCAAAGUGCUGGGAUUACAGGUGUGACCCACUGGGCCCGGCCCAAUCCUGUUUUUUUAAUGUCCCUGGACACCCAGCUCAACUGCAUGUUUUGCUUUUCUUAAAGUUAGGUGAAGUCAGGCAAUGGAGCUUUUAGACAAGAAAAUGCAUAUAAACUGAGUGGAAUUGAUCAAACCUUGUAAUCCUGCUUCCUUAAAAUGCCUGUGUGCUGUUCUCUACUCCCUUUCUUCAACCACCAACUGAACACAGGGUUCUAGAGUUCUCAGGAGGGCAGAUACAAGAGAGCAGGAGGAUGGGUUCCUGAAUGACCACAUGGAAGGCUUCCCACUAAUAAGAAAUCUUAGUAUUGGACUUCACAUAAACACUGAGAAAAUGGCUCUUUGGGAAGCCACUAAAAUUUUUUUAUUUAUCUGUUAUAGCAGUUAGUUAUAGCCUUCCCAAUUCAAUGUCCUAUGUCUCUGAAUGUGCUUUAUUUAAAACCACAUCACUUAUCACCAUCUGACAUAUUCUGUAUUUGCCUGUCACUUUUUCUCCUGUGUCUUCUGUCCAGAGAAAGUGUUGGCCAACUAUAACCCAAGAGCCAAAUCUAGCUUGCUUCCUGUUUUCAUAUGUAAUUAUUUAUUGGAAUAUAGCCACAGCUAUUCAUUUCUGUAUUUAGAGAGGAGCUGUGUCUAUGCUACAACAGGAGAGUUCAGUAGUUGCAACAGAGAAACUGUAUGAUCUACAAACAAUAUUUACUAUCUGGCCCUUUACAGAAACAGUUUGCCAAUGUUUGUACUAGAAUGUAAACUCCAAGAAUGUAAAACCUUUGUCUCUUUAGUUUGCUGUUAUAUACCCAGCAUUAGAACAGUCUCUGGUCCAUUGCAGGUAUUCAUAUAAUAUUUGUUAAAUGCAUAAUUGAAUAAGUGAAUGAGUGUGCAGCAAGCCAAAAAUGUUCCAGAAAAAAAAUUCAUAUCUAAAUUUCUUGAACCUCUGAAUAUUGCCUUACAUGAAAAAUCAGACAAACAAAAAUCAAUCAUUGCAUGUGAUUAAGUUAAAGAUCUUGACCUAAAAGAUUAUCCAGUAUUAGCCAGAUGGACUCUAAAUACAAUCACAUGUAUCUGUAUAAGAGGGAAGCAGAAAGAAAUUUGACCACACAGACAGAAAAGGAGAGGGGAUGUGAUCACACAGGCAGAGGUUAGACUGAUGUACCACAAGCCAAUGAAUGUUGGUGGCCACUAGAAAUAUUAUCUAAAGGAUUAGGAAUUAUCUGUUUAGAACUUUCCUGAUGGCCACACCCUCCAAACCCCCGAUACUGAUUUCAGAUUUAUGACAUCCAGAACUGUAAAAGAAUAAAUUUCUAUUGUUUAAGCCACCAAGUUUCCAGUAAUUUGUUACAGAGGCAGCAGGAAACCAAUACAGAGGGGAAAAUGACUUAAAACUACUUCUAAUUCCAAGAUAAUGUUCAAAAUGUUCAUGCAAAAACUACUUCUUGUGUCAACAUUCAGUCUAUAUAAGUGCUCUUGAAAUUAAUUAUCACUAUAAUUCAGUCUCAUGAGGAAAAAUAUUUUGGCUUUUUUUGUGAACCAAAAAUUUAUAGCAAUUCAUAAGUUACAGUUUAUGGAUGAAAUUAAACAUAUUUGAGAUUAUUUUUAUAUUAGCACUUUAUAAAUCAGUUGCUGAAAUAGUCUGUUUUGAAAUAUUAGAUAUAACUGCCAGGAAUAAUUCUGAUAUUUUCUUUAACACAUUUUAGUCAUUUCUUGAAUUGCAAUGUUUUAUUAUCAUAAAUUGCCAAACUAAUAAAAUUAAUUGCUAUUGAAAAAUAAGAAUUGUGAAUGUCUUCAGGGUGAGGGCUGAGCAUGUAAAAAGUUUUUUUUUUUCCUUAAAAAAAUGGGACUCAGGGGAGGAAGUUCCCUUCUUCUCCUUCAGAGAAUGUGGUCAUGAUCAUUUCUCCCUGCAAAGACCUGGAAAGGCUGCAGCCGUUUUGGAAAUACGGACUUACACUUGGCUGAUAGGCUGAGUCUGGGAGAGUGCAAAGAUGAAAAAACACCUAGCACAUGGAUCGUGUCACUGAGCUACUGAAUCAAUCACGGAACCAUGCUCCAUCUGUACUUUGUGUUCUCUCAUAGAAUAAAUGUUCACUUUGGGUUGUGUAUCCAUUACUUGAAGCUAAAAAUCUCCCCAUGUAGGCAAUGAUCACUACAAUGGGUUACUUACGUUUCUGAGUAACGUACUCAUUUAAUGAAAAAAAGAUAGAGCAAAGUCCUCAAUCAUAUUUAUCAAUUAACAAGGGUCUGACUAAAACUACUUGAGGUUCCAGGGAGAUAACGUGGGAACCAAGAUAUUUAAUUGUCCAUCUGCCAUUUGAGGAUUUUUUUUUCCCCACAAAAGGAAUCAAUUUGUGUAGCCAUGAUGGUGACUUCAGCUGAUGCCUCUGUUGAGCACUGGCUGUACUGUUUAAAUGAUAUACUAAAAUGGACAAAUGGGCAGAAGCUUCUUCACAAAGAGCAAAUCUAUCUCUGGUUUGCGUGGUAACUUUCAUGCCUGUAGUAGAAUAAACUUCAAUAUAUCCUAUUUAUAAAAUUGCUCUGAAAAUGGAAGACAUCUUAAAAUGUUGGCAUGCACUCAAUAAGGUGGUAUUCUCUCCAAAUUUAAUAUAAAAUUAAUGUUUUAAAAUUGACAACAUCUUUGAAUCUACAAAAUACAUGUGCCCCACUCCAGACCUACUGCCACAUUGACUCUAUACCUACUAAUCUAACAAAUAGUGAGCUUGUUUGGAUUUUGCCAAAAGCAAAUAUUUAAACAUGAGAACAGUUAAUAUUCCCAAUUGCUGCUUCAUAUAAAACUAAGCUAGCAUUUAUUUUAUCUCCCUGUCUUGUUCCUUGUGCACUGUUCUGGCUCUGUAAGAACACUAGACUUUGCAUGAGAAAACUAAGGAUUCAACUGAAGAUGAUUUAUUAAGUUGGUGAUUUAUUUAAGUACAUUUAUUGUCAUUGUUUUGCAACACAUAAUACAAUUUCCAAAAUAACUAGGAAUUGUUUUCUUCUAUUUUAUAUUGUUUUUUGAAUUUCCUCUAUGAAGGAAUCAUUUAACCUUUCAGUUUAGGCACUAUAUUUUUUACCUCAUUAUGCAACAGAAAUGUUUUGAAAGUUGUAGUCUGAAACCCAGAAUUCAGUCUUAGCUCCACAACUUAGUGGUUACUUAGCUCUUCCAAUCUCUGCAUUUGCAUAAGUUUGGGGAUAACCGUAAUUAAGAUACCUUACCUUAAGUGGUAAGAUUUGGGGAUUAAAUGACAAAAUCAGAAAAGUCUUUGUUUGUGUUUAAGUUCUGUAUACAGAUGUUCCU